UACGAAGGGUGCAAGCGUUGUUCGGAUUUAUUGGGCGUAAAGCGCGCGCAGGCGGAUUAAUAAGUCAGGUGUGAAAUCUUGGGGCUUAACCCCGAAACUGCGCCUGAAACUAUUAGUCUAGAAUCUUGGAGAGGGAAGUAGAAUUUCGCAUGUAGGGGUAAAAUCCGUAGAGAUGCGAAGGAACAUCAGAGGCGAAGGCGACUUCCUGGACAAGUAUUGACGCUGAGGCGCGAAAGCGUGGGUAGCGAACAGG
RNAcentral lists this ribosomal RNA (253 nucleotides) under uncultured bacterium. Its description in RNAcentral is "partial 16S ribosomal RNA". It matches the Rfam family "Bacterial small subunit ribosomal RNA", at positions 524 to 776 of the family's 1533-position model. The record is from RNAcentral.